RNAcentral lists this ribosomal RNA (253 nucleotides) under uncultured bacterium. RNAcentral's name for it is "partial 16S ribosomal RNA". It matches the Rfam family "Bacterial small subunit ribosomal RNA", at positions 524 to 776 of the family's 1533-position model. The record is from RNAcentral.
UACGUAGGGGGCUAGCGUUGUCCGGAGUUACUGGGUGUAAAGGGCACGUAGGCGGGUUAACAAGUCUGGGGUGAAAUCUCCCGGCUCAACUGGGAAGCUGCCCUGGAUACUGUUAAGCCUGAGUACGGAAGAGAGAGACGGAAUUCCCGGUGUAGUGGUGAAAUACGUAGAUAUCUGGAAGAACACCUGUGGCGGAGGCGGUCUCUUGGUCCGAUACUGACGCUCAGGCGCGAAAGCGUGGGGAGCAAACAGG